UGCUGCAUGGCUGUCGUCAGCUCGUGUCGUGAGAUGUUCGGUUAAGUCCGCUAACGAGUCGCAACCCUCGCUGUGUGUUACAAGUGUCACACGGAACUGCCGGUCAUAAACCGGAGGAAGGUGGGGAUGACGUCAAGUCAGCAUGGCCUUUAUAUCCUGGGCUACACACACGCUACAAUGGGAAGGGACAAUAGGUUGCGAAACCGCGAGGUGGAGCCAAUCCAAGCAAAACUUCCCUCAGUUCAGAUUGCAGGCUGCAACUCGCCUGCAUGAAGUUGGAGUUGCUAGUAAACGCAGGUCAGCCAUACUGCGUUGAAUACGUUCCCGGGGCUU
RNAcentral lists this ribosomal RNA (333 nucleotides) under uncultured Anaerolineaceae bacterium. RNAcentral's name for it is "bacterial SSU rRNA". It matches the Rfam family "Bacterial small subunit ribosomal RNA", at positions 1039 to 1382 of the family's 1533-position model. The record is from RNAcentral. Lineage: Bacteria; Bacillati; Chloroflexota; Anaerolineae; Anaerolineales; Anaerolineaceae.